This 344-nucleotide unclassified non-coding RNA is filed under the name soil metagenome. RNAcentral describes it as "partial contains 5.8S ribosomal RNA, internal transcribed spacer 2, and large subunit ribosomal RNA". The stretch from base 1 to 119 matches the Rfam family "5.8S ribosomal RNA", at positions 36 to 154 of the family's 154-position model. The record is from RNAcentral.
AUGAAGAACGCAGUGAAAUGCGAUACGUAAUGUGAAUUGCAGAAUUCAGUGAAUCAUCGAGUCUUUGAACGCACAUUGCGCCCCCUGGUAUUCCGGGGGGCAUGCCUGUCCGAGCGUCAUUGCUGCCCUCAAGCACGGCUUGUGUGUUGGGCCUCCGUCCUCCUCCCGGGGGACGGGCCCGAAAGGCAGCGGCGGCACCGCGUCCGGUCCUCGAGCGUAUGGGGCUUCGUCACCCGCUCUUGUAGGCCCGGCCGGCGCUUGCCGACACAUCAAUCUUUUUUCCAGGUUGACCUCGGAUCAGGUAGGGAUACCCGCUGAACUUAAGCAUAUCAAUAAGCGGAGGA